Molecule: ribosomal RNA, 250 nt
Filed under: uncultured bacterium
Lineage: Bacteria
Description: partial 16S ribosomal RNA
Rfam family: Bacterial small subunit ribosomal RNA
Source: RNAcentral
UACGGAGGGUGCAAGCGUUAUCCGGAUUCACUGGGUUUAGAGGGUGCGUAGGCGGGUUGGAAAGUCCGUGGUGAAAUCCCCAAGCUUAACUUGGGAACUGCCGUGGAUACUCUCAAUCUUGAAUGUCGUGGAGGUAAGCGGAAUAUGUCAUGUAGCGGUGAAAUGCUUAGAUAUGACAUAGAACACCAAUUGCGUAGGCAGCUUACUACACGAUUAUUGACGCUGAGGCACGAAAGCGUGGGGAGCAAAC